CUGAAAAUCUUAUUACUGUUAGAACAACUCCUCAAAAAAGUGUUGAAGUGUAUCGCAUUCCAAGAGUGUCUAUAAACGAUGCAGGUGUUUACAGAUGUGAAGUCGAUGGAAAAAAUAACAUGAAAAUUUUAUCCGAUAUACGCAUUCUAGAAGUCAUAGAAAGAAAAGCUUCUAAAUUUAAAUCCAUGAAGAUAUUUUUUCAUUUUAAUGAAGCUGAUAAAGCUGAGAUAACGCUUUAUGUUGAGGAAUUUCCAUUUCCAAAUAUCACUUGUUAUAAGGAGGGCAAAGAAAUUAUAUUUUGUAUUGGAAAGAAAAUGAAAAAUAUUCCAAAUAU
Molecule: long non-coding RNA, 334 nt
Organism: Xenia sp. Carnegie-2017
Lineage: Eukaryota; Metazoa; Cnidaria; Anthozoa; Malacalcyonacea; Xeniidae
Exons: 2
Source: RefSeq, a predicted model, not a curated record